GGUCAAGCUACAAAGGGCUCACGGCGGAUACCUUGGCACACAGAGGCGAUGAAGGACGUGGUUACCUGCGAUAAGUCCCGGGGAGCUGGAAGCACGCUUUGAUCCGGGAAUUUCCGAAUGGGGCAACCCUUAAUACGGCCAGCUGAAUCCAUAGGCUGGCACGAGCCAACCCAGCG
This 176-nucleotide ribosomal RNA is filed under the name uncultured cyanobacterium. Its description in RNAcentral is "partial 23S ribosomal RNA". It matches the Rfam family "Bacterial large subunit ribosomal RNA", at positions 1 to 190 of the family's 2925-position model. The record is from RNAcentral. Lineage: Bacteria; Bacillati; Cyanobacteriota.